Molecule: transfer RNA, 72 nt
Filed under: Loxodonta africana (African savanna elephant)
Lineage: Eukaryota; Metazoa; Chordata; Mammalia; Proboscidea; Elephantidae
Rfam family: tRNA
About the family: Transfer RNA (tRNA) molecules are approximately 80 nucleotides in length.
Source: Rfam by way of RNAcentral
GCCCUGGUAGCAUAAUGGUUAAGAGCUUGGCUGCUAACUGAAAGGUUGGUGGUUUGAACCCAUCCAGGGGCU